Molecule: ribosomal RNA, 468 nt
Filed under: uncultured bacterium
Lineage: Bacteria
Description: partial 16S ribosomal RNA
Rfam family: Bacterial small subunit ribosomal RNA
Source: RNAcentral
GACGAACGCUGGCGGCGUGCUUAACACAUGCAAGUCGAACGGAAAGGCCCUGCUUUUGUGGGGUGCUCGAGUGGCGAACGGGUGAGUAACACGUGAGUAACCUGCCCUUGACUUUGAGAUAACUUCAGGAAACUGGGGCUCAUACCGGAUAGGAGCUCCUGCUGCAUGGUGGGGGUUGGAAAGUUUCGGCGGUUGGGGCUGGACUCGCGGCUUAUCAGCUUGUUGGUGGGGUAGUGGCUUACCAAGGCUUUGACGGGUAGCCGGCCUGGGAGGGUGACCGGCCACAUUGGGACUGAGAGACGGCCCAGACGCCGACGGGAGGCAGCAGUGGGGAAUAUGGCACAAUGGGCGGAAGCCUGAUGCAGCAACGCCGCGUGCGGGAUGACGGCCUUCGGGUUGUAAACCGCUUUCGCCUGUGACGAAGCGUGAGUGACGGUAAUGGGUAAAGAAGCACCGGCUAACUACGUG